UGUGUGUGUGUGUGUGUGUGUGUGUGUGUGUGUAUACACACAUACAUACACAUACGCAUACAUACACAUACACAUAAA
RNAcentral lists this microRNA precursor (78 nucleotides) under Podarcis lilfordi (Lilford's wall lizard). The record is from RNAcentral. Lineage: Eukaryota; Metazoa; Chordata; Lepidosauria; Squamata; Lacertidae.